Long non-coding RNA from Bubalus bubalis (water buffalo), 663 nucleotides. RefSeq lists it as uncharacterized. The record is from RefSeq and is a predicted model, not a curated record. The transcript has 2 exons. NCBI's taxonomy places the organism in Eukaryota, Metazoa, Chordata, Mammalia, Artiodactyla, Bovidae.
AUUUAAAUCCUUAUUUAUGAACGUAAAGACAGGGGCUGGAGGAGCCCAGGUGAGGCUGGUUCCCAAAGGAAAACCACAAGGCUAUUGUAAAUUCCUUGAACAAGAUGCAAGGUUGACCGCGCUUCAUUCCACAGCAAGAGAUAACACUUCAAAUCCAAGUGCUCCUGGAAGGGAGGGAAGACCUGGGCUUCAAUUCAUGCUAAGUUGUAAAUCACUAAUAUUGGAAAGUUAUUCUCAACCAGGUUUUGAUUGAGGAAGGAAGGCCAGUGUGAUGGUUCUGGCUGACCAAGGGUGGGGAGUCAUGUUGGGAGAGAGAGCCUCAUUUCUUCGGCCAUGGGAGAGAGGCUGGCACAAAGCUGGGGUCCUCUCUGGGGCAAAUACCAGCUCAGGAAAACCACAGGAGCCAUUCCUUCACGUGGACCCAACUAUGGACCAGAACAUUCUUCUCAUGGAGAUGGCAGAUACAUAAGAACAAGCCCAGUUGUACAAGUGUGCCCCACUCCUGAGUUACUGCUUUGCUGUGGCCAUCUGGUUUCCAAGGUCCUGCUGGAUGGGUCAGCACACCAAAUUACAAGAUGCUAGAUUUUGCCUGGAGUAUAAGGAUACUGUUUGCAUGAGUCUUCUUCUGGAAUCAACAGUCAAACACGCCCAACAUGCUAGUAA